This 238-nucleotide ribosomal RNA is filed under the name uncultured bacterium. RNAcentral's name for it is "partial 16S ribosomal RNA". It matches the Rfam family "Bacterial small subunit ribosomal RNA", at positions 15 to 236 of the family's 1533-position model. The record is from RNAcentral.
GAUCUUGGCUCAGGACGAACGCUGGCGGCGUGCUUAACACAUGCAAGUCGAACGAGAAUCUACUGAAGGAGUUUUCGGACAACGGAUGUAGAGGAAAGUGGCGGACGGGUGAGUAACGCGUGAGGAACAUGCCUUGAAGAGGGGGACAACAGUUGGAAACGACUGCUAAUACCGCAUGACGCAUAGGGGUCGCAUGAUCUUUAUGCCAAAGAUUUAUCGCUUCAAGAUGGCCUCGCGU